Molecule: ribosomal RNA, 443 nt
Filed under: uncultured bacterium
Lineage: Bacteria
Description: partial 16S ribosomal RNA
Rfam family: Bacterial small subunit ribosomal RNA
Source: RNAcentral
CCUACGGGGGGCAGCAGUGGGGAAUAUUGCGCAAUGGGCGAAAGCCUGACGCAGCGACGCCGCGUGAGGGAUGAAGGCUUUCGGGUUGUAAACUUCUUUUGUCAGGGAAGAGUAGAAGACGGUACCUGACGAAUAAGCCACGGCUAACUACGUGCCAGCAGCCGCGGUAAUACGUAGGUGGCAAGCGUUGUCCGGAUUUACUGGGUGUAAAGGGCGUGUAGCCGGGUUGACAAGUCAGAUGUGAAAUCCUGCGGCUUAACCGCAGAACUGCAUUUGAAACUGUUGAUCUUGAGUACUGGAGAGGCAGAUGGAAUUCCUAGUGUAGCGGUGAAAUGCGUAGAUAUUAGGAGGAACACCAGUGGCGAAGGCGGUCUGCUGGACAGCAACUGACGGUGAGGCGCGAAAGCGUGGGGAGCAAACAGGAUUAGAUACCCGUGUAGGUC